CUUCUCCAAAGCUUUUUGCAUCUUAAGAAAGAUAAUUCCUAGGAAAGGGUGCCUCACCUGGGUCAUAGCCAGUGGAAAAAGGAAAGCUUAUGAUAUCUCUUGGUCUGGUAUUAAGAGGCCAGGCUGGAAAAGGAAGGCACCAUUUCCAUCAUAUUCUUCUGGAGAGAACUUAGUCUCAUCUUCUUCACAGAAGAUGGGGAAAGGUGGCCCAGCUGGUCAGCCCUGUGCCUGGCUGCAUUUCUGUUACUAUGGAAGGAGGGAAAAAGGAAAGCCAGCAGU
RNAcentral lists this long non-coding RNA (279 nucleotides) under Homo sapiens (human). RNAcentral's name for it is "non-protein coding lnc-C11orf71-1:4". The record is from RNAcentral. Lineage: Eukaryota; Metazoa; Chordata; Mammalia; Primates; Hominidae.